UUAUUAUAGAGGAGCACCCUGGGCCCUCUAUAAUAGGAUGCUCACUCCAAUCCAUUUUAAAGGUUACUGAUUUGUAGAGCAUUAUUAUGAUAAUUGAUGCUAAUAAUAAAUUCCAGAAAUUCAUCACCCUUUAUAUUUUAGCAUCUAAUUAAAUGAUUUGUUUAUGGAAAAUAGUAUAUCAGCUUUAUGCUAGUCAUUAAUGUACAUUUUGACUGUACAAAUGAAAACUGGAAAUAGCUGUAAGAGAAAUUCUCAGAAUCAACUAUUGCUAUUAAUAUGAGUCAUGUACUCAUAUACUCACCAUUUUCAAGUAGGAAGAGGAUCACACAGUUCCUCAUCGGAUAUGUCGUGCUAUAUGAAAAGCAAUGGCAAAUUAGGGCUAUUCGGAACGAGCAAGGCGUUGCUAUGCUUGUGGCUGAUCAUGCCACUUCUCGUGUCAUCUGAAGAGAUGGUGUUAGGACGAGGGCCCUGGUUAGGACGGAAAUCGUGUGACUGUAAAUAUUGCCUGACGUGGAGUGGCAACCUUUGCAUCAAGCCCGGAACCUGCAAUGUGCCCUGCAAGGCCGCAGGCUAUGACAACGGCCACUGCGAAUUCCUCCGCCUAUGCUACUGCUGCAAUAACUGCAAUGGCUAGCUCCCCAGUUCGUACGUGACACCAAACGCAUGCUCUGUCCGAGUUGUUGCUACGUGUUCAUGUAUGCCUGAUUUGCAAGUGAAAUAAAAUACUCUCUCCGUUUCUUCGACUUAA
Lolium perenne is the source of this 748-nucleotide long non-coding RNA. RefSeq lists it as uncharacterized. The record is from RefSeq and is a predicted model, not a curated record. Lineage: Eukaryota; Viridiplantae; Streptophyta; Magnoliopsida; Poales; Poaceae.